Molecule: small RNA, 17 nt
Filed under: Arabidopsis thaliana (thale cress)
Lineage: Eukaryota; Viridiplantae; Streptophyta; Magnoliopsida; Brassicales; Brassicaceae
Description: ATSL013540
Source: RNAcentral
CUGUCUUCGCCGAAUUG